Molecule: small nuclear RNA, 107 nt
Organism: Nycticebus coucang (slow loris)
Lineage: Eukaryota; Metazoa; Chordata; Mammalia; Primates; Lorisidae
Source: RefSeq, a predicted model, not a curated record
GUGCUCACUUCGGCAGCACAUAUACGAAAAUUGGAAAGAUACAGAGCAGAGUAGAAUGGCCCCUGCGCAAGGACAGCAUGCAAACUGGUGAAGCAGUGCAGAUUUUU